RNAcentral lists this transfer RNA (69 nucleotides) under Escherichia coli. Its description in RNAcentral is "tRNA-OTHER". Lineage: Bacteria; Pseudomonadati; Pseudomonadota; Gammaproteobacteria; Enterobacterales; Enterobacteriaceae. The record is from RNAcentral.
GUGACACAAUUACGGGUAAUGACUCCAACUUAUAACGUAUCGGGGGUUCGAAUCCCCCCCUCACCGCCA